RNAcentral lists this ribosomal RNA (497 nucleotides) under uncultured bacterium. Its description in RNAcentral is "partial 16S ribosomal RNA". It matches the Rfam family "Bacterial small subunit ribosomal RNA", at positions 28 to 507 of the family's 1533-position model. The record is from RNAcentral.
GACGAACGCUGGCGGCGUGCCUAAUACAUGCAAGUUGAGCGCUGAAGGUUGGUACUUGUACCAACUGGAUGAGCAGCGAACGGGUGAGUAACGCGUGGGGAAUCUGCCUUUGAGCGGGGGACAACAUUUGGAAACGAAUGCUAAUACCGCAUAAAAACUUUAAACACAAGUUUUAAGUUUGAAAGAUGCAAUUGCAUCACUCAAAGAUGAUCCCGCGUUGUAUUAGCUAGUUGGUGAGGUAAAGGCUCACCAAGGCGAUGAUACAUAGCCGACCUGAGAGCGUGAUCGGCCACAUUGGGACUGAGACACGGCCCAAACUCCUACGGGAGGCAGCAGUAGGGAAUCUUCGGCAAUGGACGAAAGUCUGACCGAGCAACGCCGCGUGAGUGAAGAAGGUUUUCGGAUCGUAAAACUCUGUUGGUAGAGAAGAACGUUGGUGAGAGUGGAAAGCUCAUCAAGUGACGGUAACUACCCAGAAAGGGACGGCUAACUACGUG